GCCGGAGUGGCGGAAUGGCAGACGCAUACGACUCAAAAUCGUACGGGGUAACUCGUGCCGGUUCAAGUCCGGCCUUCGGUA
RNAcentral lists this transfer RNA (81 nucleotides) under Desulfuribacillus alkaliarsenatis. RNAcentral's name for it is "low GC Gram-positive bacterium strain AHT28 tRNA". It matches the Rfam family "tRNA". Rfam says of the family: Transfer RNA (tRNA) molecules are approximately 80 nucleotides in length. Their secondary structure includes four short double-helical elements and three loops (D, anti-codon, and T loops). Further hydrogen bonds mediate the characteristic L-shaped molecular structure. tRNAs have two regions of fundamental functional importance: the anti-codon, which is responsible for specific mRNA codon recognition, and the 3' end, to which the tRNAs corresponding amino acid is attached (by aminoacyl-tRNA synthetases). tRNAs cope with the degeneracy of the genetic code in two manners: having more than one tRNA (with a specific anti-codon) for a particular amino acid; and 'wobble' base-pairing, i.e. permitting non-standard base-pairing at the 3rd anti-codon position. The record is from Rfam by way of RNAcentral. Lineage: Bacteria; Bacillati; Bacillota; Desulfuribacillia; Desulfuribacillales; Desulfuribacillaceae.